This 492-nucleotide ribosomal RNA is filed under the name uncultured bacterium. Its description in RNAcentral is "partial 16S ribosomal RNA". It matches the Rfam family "Bacterial small subunit ribosomal RNA", at positions 29 to 507 of the family's 1533-position model. The record is from RNAcentral.
AGUGAACGCUGGCGGUAGGCCUAACACAUGCAAGUCGAACGGCAGCACAGUAAGAGCUUGCUCUUACGGGUGGCGAGUGGCGGACGGGUGAGGAAUACAUCGGAAUCUACUUUUUCGUGGGGGAUAACGUAGGGAAACUUACGCUAAUACCGCAUACGACCUACGGGUGAAAGCAGGGGAUCUUCGGACCUUGCGCGAUUGAAUGAGCCGAUGUCGGAUUAGCUAGUUGGCGGGGUAAAGGCCCACCAAGGCGACGAUCCGUAGCUGGUCUGAGAGGAUGAUCAGCCACACUGGAACUGAGACAGGGUCCAGACUCCUACGGGAGGCAGCAGUGGGGAAUAUUGGACAAUGGGCGCAAGCCUGAUCCAGCCAUACCGCGUGGGUGAAGAGGGCCUUCGGGUUGUAAAGCCCUUUUGUUGGGAAAGAAAAGCAGCAGGUUAAUACCCCGCUGUUCUGACGGUACCCAAAGAAUAAGCUCCGGCUAACUUCGUG